AGAAAUGCCUUUUACCUCCCACUGUGAUUCUGAGGCCCCCUCAGCCAUGUGGAAUUGUGAAUACUUGGCAGGACAACAGGCAGACAAGGAGCAGCCUGGGCUACACCCUCCUCCAUCCAGCUUGGCAGGGAAGGUCUUGGUGCCUCAGUUGAAACUUCCAAUUUAACAUCCUGACACACACUACUCCCUCUUCCUGUGAUCAUCAGAACAAGAUAAAACCUUGUGUGUCUGGAUAGUUCUCAUCUGUUAAGAUUCAGGU
Molecule: long non-coding RNA, 259 nt
Organism: Homo sapiens (human)
Lineage: Eukaryota; Metazoa; Chordata; Mammalia; Primates; Hominidae
Source: Ensembl